UACGUAGGGUGCGAGCGUUGUCCGGAAUUAUUGGGCGUAAAGAGCUCGUAGGCGGUGUGUCGCGUCGGUCGUGAAAACUUGGGGCUUAACCCUGAGCUUGCGGUCGAUACGGGCAUCACUGGAGUUCGGCAGGGGAGACUGGAAUUCCUGGUGUAGCGGUGAAGUGCGCAGAUAUCAGGAGGAACACCGGUGGCGAAGGCGGGUCUCUGGACAGUUCCUGACACUGAGGCACGAAGGUCAGGGGAGCAAACGGG
This 254-nucleotide ribosomal RNA is filed under the name uncultured bacterium. RNAcentral describes it as "partial 16S ribosomal RNA". It matches the Rfam family "Bacterial small subunit ribosomal RNA", at positions 524 to 776 of the family's 1533-position model. The record is from RNAcentral.